Molecule: ribosomal RNA, 497 nt
Filed under: uncultured bacterium
Lineage: Bacteria
Description: bacterial SSU rRNA
Rfam family: Bacterial small subunit ribosomal RNA
Source: RNAcentral
AGAGUUGAUCAUGGCUCAGGACGAACGCUGGCGGCGUGCUUAACACAUGCAAGUCGAACGGGGACUUCGGUCCUAGUGGCGAACGGGUGAGUAAAGUGCAAAUAACCUGCCUCAAAGAUGGGGACAACAGCUCGAAAGGGUUGCUAAUACCGAAUGUUGUAUAGAGAGGGCAUCCUGAUUAUACUAAAGAUUUAUCGCUUUGAGAGGGGUUUGCAUCCGAUUAGGCAGUUGGCGGGUAAAAGCCCACCAAACCGACGAUCGGUAACCGGUCUGAGAGGAUGAACGGUCACAUUGGAACUGAGACACGGUCCAGACUCCUACAGGAGGCAGCAGUGGGGAAUAUUCCACAAUGGAGGGAACUCUGAUGGAGCGACGCCGCGUGAAGUGAAGAAGGGUUUAGGCUCGUAAAGCUCUUUUCUUGCAGAUGAAUGACUUAUUAGAUAAGUAGGGACAGUAUGUAAGGAAUAAGCCACGGCUAACUACGUGCCAGCAGCCGC